Molecule: regulatory RNA element, 111 nt
Organism: Desulfosporosinus orientis DSM 765
Lineage: Bacteria; Bacillati; Bacillota; Clostridia; Eubacteriales; Desulfitobacteriaceae
Rfam family: Pyrrolysine insertion sequence mttB
Source: Rfam
CAAACAGACAGCAAAAUGUUGGAUUAUCAAGCAGGUUUUGAGACUAUGCAGACCCUUCUCUUACCUAUUCUGGCAGGGGUCAAAAUGAUCCAAGAAGGCAAUGGUACGCUG